AGUCAUUUAAAAAUAUUUGACUGGAAAGGUUUUUAACUUUUUCUAAUACUAGCUUGCCUUGCUUUAUAACCUAGCUGUCUUCAACUACAAGCAAUCAUUUAAAGGGGGGCUACAUCAGGCCAGUUUUCCACUGAGUUAUAAUCAUGGAGACCCUAAUUAUCCAGGUUUCAUCUCAAGUUGGGUUGUAAUUCAUUAAAAUUCCUUUUGCCCCUUUUCAGUUGGAUGCGUUUCAGCGUUCUAAAUUCUCGUCUCUUCCUGUUUCAAAAAUGUAGACAGUUAAUAGAGUGUAUUCAUAUCUCAUUUGUUUGUUAAUUUGUUUUUGCAAUGAUCUCUUUGUCCCUUCAUUUCUCUGACCUGUGGCUGUACCUACCUUACCAGUUAAAAUGCAAAUUUUCUUAGAGGCUGGUCCCUACUGAUCAUAGCCAAAGAAUUUUGAUCUUGCAAAAUGAUUUGCAUUUGGAUGAAGGAUUCCCACUGCAAGUAGGAAUUUGCACCUGGAUGCAAAUCCAGAGAGAGCGGGCUCUGCGGGGCUGUGCGGUGGACUUGGGGAGAGGGAGGUGGUGUCUUUGCGGUGACGGAAGGUAUUGCAUUCUGUGAAGGACACAACCCUGCACUACAGAACAGGACUGGGAGCGAAGCCUUUGAUUUUUGCCCUUCUGGAAGGUCUGCAUCGGUGCGAAGCCGUGAGAUGUUGGCAGGUCCACUGUGUAUCAUCAGGGCAGCUGAGUUGAUAGAAGAAAGGACUAUAAUUUACACUAGAACUCUGCUCUGUGUUUGAAGAUGUGCAUUGGAGACUCUUGGGGGAAACCGUUGCUUGCCUCAAAUCAAAAGGGAAAAUGAGGUCUAAGGAGGGAAGGGAACGGGGCCUGUUAACCUUCAGGUGCGACCCAGAGGCCCUUUAUGGCCGGCCAGGUGCAAACACCGUAUCUAAUCUCCCCGGUGUCUGCGGGGCAGCAGCUGCAGCGGUUGGAGGGAGUUCUCGGCUCUCAGAUAUCAGGGAAAUGUCCGUGCCGGUAUUGUCCCAUUUCGGGGUGGCACAAGAAAUCUGCAGGCUGUUUUCCACUUCGACGCAUGAUAGAUCUACACGGAAUGCAUGCCCCGGGCCCAGCAGACAGCGCCUCAGCCAUCUCGUCCUGGAGACCGGGCCAGCGCGGCGGCAGGACUCACCUGUGACACGUGUUGCAAACAUCGGGCUCGAACUCACAACCCUGAGAUCAAGACCCAAAUGCUCCACCGACUGAGUCAGCCGGAUGCCCCCAAAGCUAAUUCAGACUUGGACUGCAUUCAGAGCAUCACAGUAGCUACGUCUGGGGAGAGAACAGUCUGCAAUCAAAAUGUAUUUGCAGCAUUGCUCUUAAUUCUGCAAGCCGGGUUCAGACGAUGGGAACCACGAAAUCCUCCUGUACUCACGCCACCUUCAACAGUCUCAGCAGUGGACUAAGUAUCAGUGACAUGAAGAAUCUGGGAAGAGACCAUUGACUGUCCGUUUGCCUCUGCCCCUGUACUCAUCAUUCCCCAGCUCCACAUCCCCUGGGAAUAUGGAAGAGCCCUGAGUCACUUCGGCAACAGUUUGGAAGUAGACCCUUUCACAAAGGCUUGGAAAACCACAGGUUUCAACUGCAAGCUGGCGAUACACGGGGUAGGAUGUCACCUUGUGAUGCCCGGCCGCGGCGAUAAGCUUUCGCCCCCUCCCGGUCAGCCCCGCGAUCAGGACGGCGAUCAGGAUGGCUCUUCCAAGCCACUCAAAGACUGUUACAACUGAACACUCACCGCACGAAUCCCGUGUUUGAAUACUGGUGUUCAAGGGCACAGGAUCCGAACUUGAACGCAGAUUAGACACUGAGGGUUUGAAUGCGCAGCCUCAUAUUUACCAAGAGUGUGAUCUGAACAAUACUCCUCUCUUCAUGCCUCCCUUUUCUCAUUUGUGGAAGGGACCUCACGGAGGUUGAAUGGGAAUUCCUUCCUUGGAGGGUGGUCGUGGGAAUGAUGUAAGUUAUGGAUGUAAAGCGUUUGGAACUCUGGCCACGGGAGGCCCUAUGCAUGUGAUUAUUACUGCAUUCGUGGUUGGGAAGAUUAGCCUGUGUGCCUGGCACACGCCGACACUCAUUAAAUAGAAACUGUGUCUGUUUUUC
This is a long non-coding RNA of Mustela lutreola (European mink), 2132 nucleotides long. RefSeq lists it as uncharacterized. The transcript is spliced from 8 exons. The record is from RefSeq and is a predicted model, not a curated record. NCBI's taxonomy places the organism in Eukaryota, Metazoa, Chordata, Mammalia, Carnivora, Mustelidae.